GAGUUUGAUCGUGGCUCAGGACGAACGCUGGCUGCGUGCUUAACACAUGCAAGUCGAACGCUGAAGCCUGGUGCUUGCACCGGGUGGAUGAGUGGCGAACGGGUGAGUAACACGUGAGUAACCUGCCCCUGACUUCGGGAUAAGCCCGGGAAACUGGGUCUAAUACCGGAUACGACCGUCGGACGCAUGUCUGGUGGUGGAAAGUUUUUUCGGUUGGGGAUGGGCUCGCGGCCUAUCAGUUUGUUGGUGAGGUAAUGGCUCACCAAGACGACGACGGGUAGCCGGCCUGAGAGGGCGACCGGCCACACUGGGACUGAGACACGGCCCAGACUCCUACGGGAGGCAGCAGUGGGGAAUAUUGCACAAUGGGGGAAACCCUGAUGCAGCGACGCAGCGUGCGGGAUGACGGCCU
RNAcentral lists this ribosomal RNA (412 nucleotides) under uncultured bacterium. RNAcentral describes it as "bacterial SSU rRNA". It matches the Rfam family "Bacterial small subunit ribosomal RNA", at positions 9 to 417 of the family's 1533-position model. The record is from RNAcentral.